GACGAACGCUGGCGGCGUGCUUAACACAUGCAAGUCGAACGGAAAGGCCCUGCUUUUGUGGGGUGCUCGAGUGGCGAACGGGUGAGUAACACGUGAGUAACCUGUCCUUGACUUUGGGAUAACUUCAGGAAACUGGGGCUAAUACUGGAUAGGAGCUCCUGCUGCAUGGUGGGGGUUGGAAAGUUUCGGCGGUUGGGGAUGGACUCGCGGCUUAUCAGCUUGUUGGUGGGGUAGUGGCUUACCAAGGCUUUGACGGGUAGCCGGCCUGAGAGGGUGACCGGCCACAUUGGGACUGCGAUACGGCCCAGACUCGUGCGGGAGGCAGCAGUGGGGAAUAUUGCACGAUGGGCGGAAGCCUGAUGCAGCAACGCCGCGUGCGGGAUGACGGCCUUCGGGUUGUAAACCGCUUUCGCCUGUGACGAAGCGUGAGUGACGGUAAUGGGUAAAGAAGCACCGGCUAACUACGUG
Molecule: ribosomal RNA, 468 nt
Filed under: uncultured bacterium
Lineage: Bacteria
Description: partial 16S ribosomal RNA
Rfam family: Bacterial small subunit ribosomal RNA
Source: RNAcentral